UCACCCGUAGUUAAGCCUCCAUACUAUUACAAAUCUCCACCUCCACCAUCACCUUCUCCUCCACCUCCUUACUACUACAAGAGCCCCCCACCACCAUCACCCUCUCCUCCUCCUCCGUACUAUUAUAAAUCUCCCCCACCGCCAUCACCCGUAGUUAAGCCUCCAUACUAUUACAAAUCUCCACCUCCACCAUCACCUUCUCCUCCACCUCCAUACUACUACAAAAGUCCUCCUCCACCAUCACCCUCUCCUCCUCCACCAUACUAUUAUAAAUCUCCCCCACCACCAUCACCCGUAGUUAAGCCUCCAUACUAUUACAAAUCUCCACCUCCACCAUCCCCUUCUCCACCACCUCCUUACUACUACAAGAGUCCCCCUCC
Molecule: long non-coding RNA, 380 nt
Filed under: Lupinus mutabilis
Lineage: Eukaryota; Viridiplantae; Streptophyta; Magnoliopsida; Fabales; Fabaceae
Description: partial ncRNA
Source: RNAcentral